AUUGAACGCUGGCGGCAGGCCUAACACAUGCAAGUCGAACGAGUGGCGGACGGGUGAGUAAUGUCUGGGAAACUGCCUGAUGUAGGGGGAUAACUACUGGAACCGGUAGCUAAUACCGCAUACCAUCAGAUGUGCCCAGAUGGGAUGAGCUGGUUGGUGGGGUAACGGCUCACAAAGGCGACGCUGCCUAGCUGGUCUGAGAGGAUGACCAGCCAAACUGGAACUGAGACACGGUCCAGACUCCUACGGGAGGCAGCAGUGGGGAAUAUUGCACAAUGGGCGCAAGCCUGAUGCAGCCACGCCGCGUGUAUGAAGAAGGCUUUCGGGUUGUAAAGUACUGUCAGCGGGGAGGCGGUACCUGCAGAAGAAGCACCGGCUAACUACGUGCCAGCAGCCGCGGUAAUAC
Molecule: ribosomal RNA, 406 nt
Filed under: uncultured bacterium
Lineage: Bacteria
Description: partial 16S ribosomal RNA
Rfam family: Bacterial small subunit ribosomal RNA
Source: RNAcentral